RNAcentral lists this ribosomal RNA (252 nucleotides) under uncultured bacterium. RNAcentral describes it as "partial 16S ribosomal RNA". It matches the Rfam family "Bacterial small subunit ribosomal RNA", at positions 524 to 776 of the family's 1533-position model. The record is from RNAcentral.
UACGUAGGGGGCAAGCGUUGUCCGGAAUUAUUGGGCGUAAAGCGCGCGCAGGCGGCUUUGUAAGUCUAGUGUUUAAUCUCGGAGCUCAACUCCGAUUCGCACCGGAAACUGCAAGGCUUGAGUACAGAAGAGGAAAGUGGAAUUCCACGUGUAGCGGUGAAAUGCGUAGAGAUGUGGAGGAACACCAGUGGCGAAGGCGGCUGCCUGGCCCAAUACUGACACUCAGGUGCGACAGCGUGGGGAGCAAACAGG